AGUGAACGCUGGCGGUAGGCCUAACACAUGCAAGUCGAACGGCAGCACAGUAAGAGCUUGCUCUUACGGGUGGCGAGUGGCGGACGGGUGAGGAAUACAUCGGACUCUACUUUUUCGUGGGGGAUACCGUAGGGAAACUUACGCUAAUACCGCAAACGACCUACGCGUGAAAGCAGGGGAUCUUCAGACCUUGCUCGAUUCAAUGAGCCGAUGUCGUAUUAGCUAGUUGGCGGGGUAAAGGCCCACCAAGGCGACGAUCCGUAGCUGGUCUGAGAGGAUGAUCAGCCACACUGGAACUGAGACACGGUCCAGACUCCUACGGGAGGCAGCAGUGGGGAAUAUUGGACAAUGGGCGCAAGCCUGAUCCAGCCAUACCGCGUGGGUGAAGAAGGCCUUCGGGUUGUAAAGCUCUUUUGUUGGGAAAGAAAAGCAGCAGGUUAAUACCCCGCUGUUCUGACGGUACCCAAAGAAUAAGCACCGGCUAACUUCGUG
This 492-nucleotide ribosomal RNA is filed under the name uncultured bacterium. Its description in RNAcentral is "partial 16S ribosomal RNA". It matches the Rfam family "Bacterial small subunit ribosomal RNA", at positions 29 to 507 of the family's 1533-position model. The record is from RNAcentral.